Molecule: ribosomal RNA, 426 nt
Filed under: uncultured bacterium
Lineage: Bacteria
Description: partial 16S ribosomal RNA
Rfam family: Bacterial small subunit ribosomal RNA
Source: RNAcentral
GUGAGGAAUUUUCCGCAAUGGGCGAAAGCCUGACGGAGCAAUGCCGCGUGAAGGAUGAAGGCCUAUGGGUUGUAAACUUCUUUUCUCAGAAAAGAAUUAUGACGGUAUCUGAGGAAUAAGCAUCGGCUAACUCUGUGCCAGCAGCCGCGGUAAGACAGAGGAUGCAAGCGUUAUCCGGAAUGAUUGGGCGUAAAGCGUCUGUAGGUUGUUUAAAAAGUAUUCUGUCAAAGAUUAGGGCUUAACCCUAGAUAGGCAGAAUAAACUUUUAAGCUAGAGUUUGGUAGAGGCAGAGGGAAUUCCCGGUGGAGCGGUGAAAUGCGUAGAUAUCGCGAGGAACACCAAAGGCGAAGGCACUCUGCUGGGCCAAUACUAACACUGAGAGACGAAAGCGAGGGGAGCAAAUGGGAUUAGAAACCCGAGUAGUCC